This 220-nucleotide unclassified non-coding RNA is filed under the name uncultured Tomentella. RNAcentral describes it as "sequence contains ITS2". The record is from RNAcentral. Lineage: Eukaryota; Fungi; Basidiomycota; Agaricomycetes; Thelephorales; Thelephoraceae.
ACACCUCAACUCCUCAUGGCUUGCCAUGAUGAGCUUGGACUUGGGGGGUCUUGCUGGCCUGCAGUCAGCUCCUCUCAAAUGAAUCAGCUUGCCAGUGUUUGGUGGCGCCACGGGUGUGAUAAACAUCUACUCUUGUGGCCCUCCGCCAUGCAACCUUCAGUGAUUGGAGGUUCACUGGAGCUCACAAAUGUCUUUCCUCAGUGAAGACAGCUCUUUGAUC